UACAGAGGGGGCGAGCGUUAUUCGGAAUUAUUGGGCGUAAAGGGCGCGUAGGCGGUGUGUCAAGUCAGGCGUGAAAGCCCCGGGCUCAACCUGGGAACCGCGCUUGAGACUGGCACGCUCGAGUUCGGGAGAGGAUGGUGGAAUUCCCAGUGUAGAGGUGAAAUUCGUAGAUAUUGGGAAGAACACCGAUGGCGAAGGCAGCCAUCUGGACCGACACUGACGCUGAGGCGCGAAAGCGUGGGGAGCAAACAGG
This 253-nucleotide ribosomal RNA is filed under the name uncultured bacterium. Its description in RNAcentral is "partial 16S ribosomal RNA". It matches the Rfam family "Bacterial small subunit ribosomal RNA", at positions 524 to 776 of the family's 1533-position model. The record is from RNAcentral.